GAUCUGGUUGGGUGGUCCGCCUAACGGUGUGUUUACUGCCUGACCGGGUCUUGCCUCUUGGUGAACCAUUGUGUUCUUAAUUGAGCGCUUUGGGGAACCAGGACUUUUACCUUGAGAAAAUUAGAGUGUUCAAAGCAGGCAUAUGCCUGAAUACAUUAGCAUGGAAUAAUAGAAUAGGACGUGUGGUUCUAUUUUGUUGGUUUUUAGAGCUGCCGUA
This 217-nucleotide ribosomal RNA is filed under the name uncultured fungus. RNAcentral describes it as "partial small subunit ribosomal RNA". The stretch from base 49 to 217 matches the Rfam family "Eukaryotic small subunit ribosomal RNA", at positions 694 to 864 of the family's 1831-position model. Lineage: Eukaryota; Fungi. The record is from RNAcentral.